GACGAACGCUGGCGGCGUGCUUAACACAUGCAAGUCGAACGGAAAGGCCCUGCUUUUGUGGGGUGCUCGAGUGGCGAAAGGGUGAGUAACACGUGAGUAACCUGCCCUUGACUUUGGGAUAACUUCAGGAAACUGGGGCUAAUACCGGAUAUGAGCUCCUGCUGCAUGGUGGGGGUUGGAAAGUUUCGGCGGUUGGGGAUGGACUCGCGGCUUAUCAUCGUGUUGGUGGGGUAGUGGCUUACCAAGGCUUUGACGGGUAGCCGGCCUGAGAGGGUGACCGGCCACAUUGGGACUGAGAUACGGCCCAGACUCAUACGGGAGGAAGCAGUGGGGAAUAUUGCACAAUGGGCGGAAGCCUGAUGCAGCAACGCCGCGUGCGGGAUGACGGCCUUCGGGUUGUAACCCGCUUUCGCCUGUGACGAAGCGUGAGUGACGGUAAUGGGUAAAGAAGCACCGGCUAACUACGUG
RNAcentral lists this ribosomal RNA (468 nucleotides) under uncultured bacterium. RNAcentral describes it as "partial 16S ribosomal RNA". It matches the Rfam family "Bacterial small subunit ribosomal RNA", at positions 28 to 507 of the family's 1533-position model. The record is from RNAcentral.